Molecule: long non-coding RNA, 269 nt
Filed under: Mytilus galloprovincialis (Mediterranean mussel)
Lineage: Eukaryota; Metazoa; Mollusca; Bivalvia; Mytilida; Mytilidae
Source: RNAcentral
UAAGUGUUUAACCAGAUGCUCCGCAGGGCGCAGCUUUAUACGACCGCAGAGGUUGAACCCUGAACGGUUGGGGCAAGUAUGGACACAACAUUCAAGCUGGAUACAGCUCUAAAUUUGGAUUGUGAUUAAAUAGUUGACACAGCAUAGGUUUCUGACACAGAAUGAAUGUGGUCUAAUGAACUUAAAAAAAAUUUUUUUGCCUUUGAGCAAUUCACUAUGCUGUUGAAUAUUAAUCCUCUCAAAAAAAUGUUUGAAGAAAUUUUCUUUUU